CAAGAAACAGAAGGGUCUGGAAGCUACUAAGGAAGAUGUGAUGGAGUUAAACAGGAAGUUGUCAAUGAUUGACUGUCAGCUGAGGAAGUCUGAGCUGAGCAGAAGACACCUGGAGAUCUCCAACAAGAAACUACUGGGAUUCGCACAGAAUGUUCACAAAGUGCUCACCACCCCCAGCUUGUUUGGAAUGGAAAAUGGGAGCAGCAGGACCUCUCCAGCCACAGACAGUCCAGAGACCCCUCUCCCAUCCCAGACCCAGCCUGCCAGUUAGCUGCAGAGGCCAGGGAGCUGGUGGAGGGGGUCAGAUCCCUGAGCAGCACCGAUGAUACAGCCCCUCUCAGUGACUCAGAGGUGGGUGAACCACCUGACCCAGCCAUGGACCCUAACCGGGCCACACAGUGACCCUCAUAGCUCGCCGGCUCAGACAUCUCCUACAGAAGAUCCAGCCAAAGACAAGCGGCGCCAGUAGAGAACGUUCAGAGAACGUUUUAGAGAACGUGAAAAGAACACCGUGGCUGGGGACUAGGCUCAGAAGAACACAGUGGUUGGCUGACUACGUUUACCGAAAAACUACCAACGACCCUUUAAAAGACCGACAGACAAAUUGAGAGAGACAAGCAGACAGACUGUAUGUAGGAUGCUAUGCAGUGUGCGUAAAAAAAGAAAGAAAACACUUACAACUCAGCUUCAGUCAAUGUUCUGGGAUUGCUUUACCGAUUAACCGUAAAAAAAAAAAAAUGUUCUAGUUUAUCUGUUUUCUAAUACAGCUGUGUGUGUACUUACGUUUCUCUGUUGAUAUUUAGCAUUUGUCAGAAUGUGAACGAAGGGGAGAUUCUCAACUGGGAGAAUCUCCCCUUCCUGGGAAGGAUAGCAGGUUUUGAGGUGAAAUGGCAGAGACUUGUAGAUGCAGUUCAGUUUGUUCCAAAGAGCUUGCCGUAGCCGAUUAGACAGCACUACAAAGCCAAGGCGCUACCGUUGGGUGUGUAGGUGUACAGACAUACAGCAUGAGCUAUGAUGAUGAUGAUGAUGAUGAUGAUGAUGCACUGAACCUUUCUAUCCAUGAGUUCCAAUACUCUGUAAAAGAUGAAUUCUCUCAUGUCCUAUUUCCUUGUAUCCUAUUUCCUUGUAUCCUUCCUGACCACUGAAAUCUGGAGAGACCGGAUAGUGACGUUCAAUAUGCCGGUAUGACAUUCAUUGGCUGCUCGUCAAAUUGGUUCCAUCCGUUUAUUUUUGGGAUCAGUGGUCCUCAAGGACACGAAGAGAGAUGAAGACGUUUCUGUUCAUUAUCUGAGACGGGACAGAAAUGUGUAUUUUUGCUCACAACAGUUCCCAGAGUUGAGGAGAAGAAGCCAGACUAGGGUAUUGGAACCUAGCCCGAGUUGUGUCUAUAGCUGUAUCGCCAUGGCUACAGUCAGUGCCCUGCAUGUGUAUACUUCAGAGAGAGAGAGAGGAUAACGUGGACGAUGUGCCCUGAUCCAAAGCGUCUCAUCCUGAUGACAUCGUGUCACCAUGGUGAUGACCCUGUGUACAGAAACGGUUUGUCCCUUAUACUGACGUGCUCUGAUGAACUGUCUGUCUGUUUUGAAGAUGAUUUUGUACUGGAAAAGCCCAUUUUCUGUUACGGAUACCGAGGUAGAGGAAGAAGCUUUAGGACCUGCACGAGCUGUCAUGGCGACGCCGAGACGUCUGCUUUUGCUGUUAUUAUAAAACCUUGUAAAUAUUGCACUCUCCUUUGAUGUCCUUCUCCACAUCUGCUGACUGACGCACACACACACACACACACACACACACACACACACACACACACACACACACACACACACACACACACACACACACACACACACACACACACACACACACACACACACACACACACACACACACACACACACACACACACACACACACACAC
Long non-coding RNA from Oncorhynchus keta (chum salmon), 1915 nucleotides. RefSeq lists it as uncharacterized. The transcript has 5 exons. Lineage: Eukaryota; Metazoa; Chordata; Actinopteri; Salmoniformes; Salmonidae. The record is from RefSeq and is a predicted model, not a curated record.